This 253-nucleotide ribosomal RNA is filed under the name uncultured bacterium. RNAcentral's name for it is "partial 16S ribosomal RNA". It matches the Rfam family "Bacterial small subunit ribosomal RNA", at positions 524 to 776 of the family's 1533-position model. The record is from RNAcentral.
GACGAACCGUGCGAACGUUGUUCGGAAUCACUGGGCUUAAAGGGCGCGUAGGCGGGUUCGUAAGUCUGUGGUGAAAGCCCCCAGCUUAACUGGGGAAGUGCCAUGGAUACUGCGAGUCUUGAGGAGGGUAGGGGCAUCUGGAACACUGGGUGGAGCGGUGAAAUGCGUUGAUAUCCAGUGGAACUCCGGUGGCGAAGGCGAGGUGCUGGACCCUUUCUGACGCUGAUGCGCGAAAGCCAGGGGAGCAAACGGG